RNAcentral lists this ribosomal RNA (445 nucleotides) under uncultured Acholeplasma sp. Its description in RNAcentral is "bacterial SSU rRNA". It matches the Rfam family "Bacterial small subunit ribosomal RNA", at positions 934 to 1382 of the family's 1533-position model. Lineage: Bacteria; Bacillati; Mycoplasmatota; Mollicutes; Acholeplasmatales; Acholeplasmataceae. The record is from RNAcentral.
GGAUCAUGUUGUUUAAUUUCGAUGAUACGCGAAGAACCUUACCAGGUCUUGACAUCCCCCGCGAUGCUUUAGAGAUAAAGCGGAGGUAUUCGGGGAGACAGGUGGUGCAUGGUUGUCGUCAGCUCGUGUCGUGAGAUGUUGGGUUAAGUCCCGCAACGAGCGCAACCCCUAUUGCUAGUUACCAUCAUUAAGUUGGGGACUCUAGCGAGACUGCCAGUGAUAAACUGGAGGAAGGUGGGGGAUGACGUCAAAUCAUCAUGCCCCUUAUGACCUGGGCUACAAACGUGAUACAAUGGCUGGAACAAAGGGAUGCGAAGCAGUGAUGUGGAGCGAAACCCAUAAAAACAGUCUCAGUUCGGAUUGAAGUCUGCAACUCGACUUCAUGAAGUCGGAAUCGCUAGUAAUCGCGGAUCAGAACGCCGCGGUGAAUACGUUCUCGGGGUUU